GGCCGGUUGGCCCAAUGGCAAGGCGUCUGACUACGACUAAGCGGUUCCCCGACUUAGCAUGUUAUCAGGAGAUUCUGGGUUCGACCCCCAGGCUGGUCA
Molecule: transfer RNA, 99 nt
Filed under: Colletotrichum lupini
Lineage: Eukaryota; Fungi; Ascomycota; Sordariomycetes; Glomerellales; Glomerellaceae
Rfam family: tRNA
About the family: Transfer RNA (tRNA) molecules are approximately 80 nucleotides in length. Their secondary structure includes four short double-helical elements and three loops (D, anti-codon, and T loops).
Source: Rfam by way of RNAcentral